Peromyscus maniculatus bairdii (prairie deer mouse) is the source of this 1500-nucleotide non-coding RNA. The record is from RefSeq and is a predicted model, not a curated record. Lineage: Eukaryota; Metazoa; Chordata; Mammalia; Rodentia; Cricetidae.
CUUGUAUCUGACCACUUGGCUCAAGAUCUUGUCCACUUAAUUGCACCAGACAUGGUCAGGAGGCAGCGGCUACCACUCAGCUGCCUUCGUGGAUCCUGCAGCAUGGGAUGAGCUUUGUGAGAAGAGAGGAGGUCACCAGGAGUAUCUGUAAGAGCUAGAGAAACUCCCUGAAAGAGAAGCCCAUGGCUUUCUUAUGUGAUGUGCUCUAUGAUAGUGUUCAUUUAUGUGAUCAACAGUGCACUGAGAUAAAGAGAGAGUAAAGACAGUUCCCCUGACUGCAGUAGAGAGAAGCUACCAUUUGGUCAGAGGAAUCAAAGCUUCCAUUCUCAGUCCCUUAAGAGGCUUUGCUUCAUGAGACUUUCCCGAGCUUCGUGGAGAGGUAGCAGUAGGUGAUUUUGUACAAUGGUUUUCAUAUCUGACUGAACGGAAUUCAAAUCCUGUAUUUUUCACUCAGCAACUGCUUAACCUUGGACAAGUCACAUAAUCUGGUGCUCAUGUCCCUCAUCUGUAAAGAAAUGGGACAAGCACAAAAAUUCACUUCCAAGGGCUUCCAGGAGGAUUAACUGAAAUUAUACCCCUACAAUUUUUCAAGGUUAAUAAAGUUAACAAUAUGUACACUGAAAAAAUACCUCUGAAGGAGAGAGAGCCAUUUGUCCUUUUGUUCUGGAGAGCUGCAACCAAAGAAAACGGAAGAGAAAUGAACCAUAUAAAAUGUUGAUGCCAACAUUGAAAGUCUGCCAACUCAGGUGACUGUAUCAACAGCUUGCUGCUGGUCAACAAUGCACAGCAGAAUGGAAUGGCAUGCCCAUUCAGAACGAGGCCUGAGUUGUUUGGGGGUAAAGCAGGAAGAGAUGCAGAAUGAAAAGCUUCACGUGUAUGUGAUGAACACUAAACUCUUUAAAAUGGAAAUCAAUACUGCAGCUGCUGUACAGUUGUUCAAAAUCACAGAUAUCAUUCUAGUGUCUAACCAAGGUAAACCUAAGGACAAGCCGUGGUUCUUACCUGAAAGUGGCCACAAAGUUCACUGUGGGCCAGCCCAGGACAAAGGACUUCAGGGCGUUCGUGUUGCCUUCCCCCACCUCGUCCACGCAGCUUGCUGUCCACAUGUCAGUUAGCUUUAUUUUGUUUUUUAUCUUAAGGUUGUUGUUAUAUCUAGUGAGAUAGAAACCAGAAUGGGUGCUCUUGUUAUCUUGUUUCUUGAGCUUUAUGGGAAGUUCUCUAUUUGUUACGAGAGGGCAAAGAACGUCUUCUUGGCCCUAUCUCCUGUCCCUGGAACACCAGAUUGCAAUGUGGAUGGUUGCUUAGGCCUCUGAAACACUGGGCAAACUCAGCUCUCAUGCCUGCAUUAAUGGGAGCAGAUAUCUGUAAACUGACUUCGUAUAUAUGUUGAAUACUACAUUUGGAUCAAAACCCAACUUAAAUUUAUUUCUGUCAUAAAAGUUAAUUUAGUAUCUGUAACUUGCUUACUUUCAAAAUUAUAUCAAUGAAUAUAUAUAAAAA